UUUUUAUUUUUUGAGAGGAGUCCAUGUGAAGGGAACUAGAGACAUACUUGGGUGUUUGUCCUGCAGACAAUGCAUGCCUGGGUCUUGUGCUGUUUCCGUAUCUUCUGCCCAAGCCAACUGGCCAGCCUCAUGGCCUCUCAACAGGAGAAGGGUGCCAAUUCCUAACAUUCUAUUUUCGUACUGUUUGAUGAUAAAAAUCACCCCAGUGGGGCGAAUGGCAGUGAACAAAAACAGGAAGCAGCCCCCUGAUUAGAUAGGAACAGGGUGGCUUGUAGAGUAAUAAACAAAAUGACUAAGAAGAUAAAUGACAGAACCAUGGAUGCUGCCAUCUCCUUCCUGAACAGGCCAAGAAUAAAUGGAAAGAAGAAAUCAGGAAAGAAGUCAUGUCUUGGGCUACAAGUGGGGGUGAAGGAGGCUUGCUCUGCAAUAUCACUUUGCAGGGGCCUUCUCUAAGUUGCCUCUUGAGUGAAGGCCAUCAGGACAACUAUCUGGUUUUCAGUGACUUCCAUGGGAAAUCUUGCCUAAGUGAUUUAGUACCUUGCUCUGAUAUUUGGAGAUCCUCUGAAAUCUAUGAUCUUAGAGCGUUAGCCAAACCAAGGGUCCACUUUGUCAUGUUGCUACUCUUGGACAGUGGUUCUCAGUUGGGGAGGGACAUGGUAAUUUGGCUCCCUAGCAGGCAUUUGACAAUGUCUAGUUGUCACAACUGAUGGAUUGUGCUGUUGGCAUCUUGUGGGUAGAGGCCAGAGAUGCUGCUAAAUAUCCUGUAACGCCCAGGACAGCCCCUAGCAACAAAGAAUUAUCCAACUCUAAAUGUCAAUAGUAGCAAAGUUGAGAAGCCCUGAUCUAAGGCAAGUUAAGAUAUAAAAAUAGGUGUAAGUAUGGGUAUGGACAUAGGGUGGAUACGAAUGUGGACAUAGAUGUAAACAUAGACAUAUAUUGAAACCAUUCUGCAAUGAAAUCUCAUUUCUUUUUCUUAAAAAGAAAGACAACUUCAUUUCUGAUGACAAAAAUCUUCACAGGGAUAAAUCACCAGGAAAGUGAGACUUAGACAUUCCCCUAUAAAGACCCAGAAACUCCAGGUCUGCUCUAAGCAUGGACCUCACCUGAUCAUCCCAACCAGGGCCUCAUGAUGAGAGCACAUGUUCAAAUUGCACCUGUAACAUUUACGUCCUGUGUGAUCUUUGGCACGUUUCUUAUUCUCUCUGAGUCUUAGCUCCACGUUUAUGAUGUUGACUUAAUAACUUCUAUAUCUUAUAGCUGUGAUGAUAAUGAAUAGGAUUGCACGAAUAAUGGUCAGUACAUUGUCUGUACCCUAGUCAAAUAGGAGACAUUCAAUGAAUUGCAUCUGUUAUUGAUCAUAUCAUCAUCAACAUGCUUGGAUUUUAACAUACAUUCAGGUAUUUCUCCUUAGUACCCAAAGGGCUCUUUGCCAUUGGAAAACAUGAUUUAGGGUACCAGGACGCUGAGAUAGGACUCUGUCUCAAUUUCAGCUGAUGUCCCAAGGAAUUAAGAACCAAUAGGUAAGUUCAUCAAGUGGUUUCCUUGAAGUCUCAUCAUCAGGAGGGAUCGUGACAAGCUGAGGUACAGCUAGAAUGCACAGCCACUUUGGAUAUAGAGGCCUGCACUUCCAGUAGUCAGGGAACUGCUAGAAUGGGCUCUCCAUGACACAGAUGUGGGCC
Macaca fascicularis (crab-eating macaque) is the source of this 1679-nucleotide long non-coding RNA. The record is from Ensembl. Lineage: Eukaryota; Metazoa; Chordata; Mammalia; Primates; Cercopithecidae.